RNAcentral lists this unclassified non-coding RNA (241 nucleotides) under uncultured fungus. RNAcentral's name for it is "sequence contains ITS1, 5.8S rRNA gene". The stretch from base 193 to 241 matches the Rfam family "5.8S ribosomal RNA", at positions 1 to 49 of the family's 154-position model. The record is from RNAcentral. Lineage: Eukaryota; Fungi.
UCUCCGUAGGUGAACCUGCGGAGGGAUCAUUACAGAGUUCGUGCCCUUUGGGGUAGAUCUCCCACCCUGUGUCGUCCUACUUAUGUUGCUUUGGCGGGCCGCCGCAAGGCCCCCGGCGUCAGCUGGGGCGCGCCCGCCAGAGGACCCCAAACUCUGAAUGUUAGUGUCGUCUGAGUACUAUCUAAUAGUUAAAACUUUCAACAACGGAUCUCUUGGUUCUGGCAUCGAUGAAGAACGCAGC